RNAcentral lists this long non-coding RNA (283 nucleotides) under Mus spicilegus (steppe mouse). RNAcentral describes it as "lncRNA (ENSMSIG00000030096.1)". The record is from RNAcentral. Lineage: Eukaryota; Metazoa; Chordata; Mammalia; Rodentia; Muridae.
GUGGACUCGAACUUUCCUCAUAUUGCCCCGUUCUCUGUCUCAGUCUGUUGUAUGGACCUACACACUCUGGAGUGCAUGAUUCCCGAGAUAUUCCAAUUCUACAAAGAUAGGGAUUUUUUUGCUUCAGUUGUUCCUGGCCAACAAUUGUUUCCUCAUUCCAAAAUGUAUGUGAGAGGGCAUAGUCUACCUAAGCUGCAGGAAUAGAUCUAAAAGGUGUUUCCUGGCUUCGAUCUUCAGGCAGUUUUUAUUGAAGUGGAGGCCAAGGCAGAGAUUCUUGUGUGAG